RNAcentral lists this long non-coding RNA (599 nucleotides) under Homo sapiens (human). Its description in RNAcentral is "growth arrest specific 5, transcript variant 11 (GAS5)". The record is from RNAcentral. Lineage: Eukaryota; Metazoa; Chordata; Mammalia; Primates; Hominidae.
CUUUUCGAGGUAGGAGUCGACUCCUGUGAGGUAUGGUGCUGGGUGCAGAUGCAGUGUGGCUCUGGAUAGCACCUUAUGGACAGUUGUGUCCCCAAGGAAGGAUGAGAAUAGCUACUGAAGUCCUAAAGAGCAAGCCUAACUCAAGCCAUUGGCACACAGGCAUUAGACAGAAAGCUGGAAGUUGAAAUGGUGGAGUCCAACUUGCCUGGACCAGCUUAAUGGUUCUGCUCCUGGUAACGUUUUUAUCCAUGGAUGACUUGCUUGGGUAUGGAGAGUCGGCUUGACUACACUGUGUGGAGCAAGUUUUAAAGAAGCAAAGGACUCAGAAUUCAUGAUUGAAGAAAUGCAGGCAGACCUGUUAUCCUAAACUAGGGUUUUUAAUGACCACAACAAGCAAGCAUGCAGCUUACUGCUUGAAAGACAGGGUCUUGCCUCACCCAAGCUAGAGUGCAGUGGCCUUUGAAGCUUACUACAGCCUCAAACUUCUGGGCUCAAGUGAUCCUCAGCCUCCCAGUGGUCUUUGUAGACUGCCUGAUGGAGUCUCAUGGCACAAGAAGAUUAAAACAGUGUCUCCAAUUUUAAUAAAUUUUUGCAAUCCA